CCGUGCGUGAUAAUGGCGCGGCAUUCAGAAUAAAACCGCGAACUCACGAACUCAUAUGCCAUUUAAACUACAAUAUAAAUCACGGGAUACGUGAGCGCCGCCGACGACGGGCCCGUGCCUUCUUGAGGCUCUUCAAUGCCAAAGCGGUGGGUGGUCUGAGCAAAUAACUCACCAGGGCUCAUGGACCACUUACAUCACUAU
RNAcentral lists this unclassified non-coding RNA (201 nucleotides) under Hevea brasiliensis (rubber tree). Lineage: Eukaryota; Viridiplantae; Streptophyta; Magnoliopsida; Malpighiales; Euphorbiaceae. The record is from RNAcentral.